AGGGUGAGUAACACGUAGGUAACCUGCCCAUGUGCCCGGGAUAACUUCUGGAAACGGAUGCUAAAACCGGAUAGGUAGCAGACAAGCAUUUGACUGCUAUUAAAGUGGCCUUGGCCAUGAACAUGGAUGGACCUGCGGUGCAUUAGCUAGUUGGUAAGGUGACGGCUUACCAAGGCAAUGAUGCAUAGCCGAGUUGAGAGACUGAUCGGCCACAUUGGGACUGAGACACGGCCCAAACUCCUACGGGAGGCAGCAGUAGGGAAUCUUCCACAAUGGACGAAAGUCUGAUGGAGCAACGCCGCGUGAGUGAAGAAGGGUUUCGGCUCGUAAAGCUCUGUUGGUAGUGAAGAAAGAUAGAGGUAGUAACUGGCCUUUAUUUGACGGUAAUUACUUAGAAAGUCACGGCUAACUACGUG
This 416-nucleotide ribosomal RNA is filed under the name uncultured bacterium. RNAcentral describes it as "bacterial SSU rRNA". It matches the Rfam family "Bacterial small subunit ribosomal RNA", at positions 103 to 507 of the family's 1533-position model. The record is from RNAcentral.